Molecule: ribosomal RNA, 497 nt
Filed under: uncultured bacterium
Lineage: Bacteria
Description: partial 16S ribosomal RNA
Rfam family: Bacterial small subunit ribosomal RNA
Source: RNAcentral
GAUGAACGCUGGCGGCGUGCCUAAUACAUGCAAGUCGAGCGAACAGACGAGGAGCUUGCUCCUCUGAAGUUAGCGGCGGACGGGUGAGUAACACGUGGAUAACCUACCUAUAAGACUGGGAUAACUUCGGGAAACCGGAGCUAAUACCGGAUAAUAUAUUGAACCGCAUGGUUCAAUAGUGAAAGACGGUUUUGCUGUCACUUAUAGAUGGAUCCGCGCCGCAUUAGCUAGUUGGUAAGGUAACGGCUUACCAAGGCAACGAUGCGUAGCCGACCUGAGAGGGUGAUCGGCCACACUGGAACUGAGACACGGUCCAGACUCCUACGGGAGGCAGCAGUAGGGAAUCUUCCGCAAUGGGCGAAAGCCUGACGGAGCAACGCCGCGUGAAUGAUGAAGGUCUUCGGAUCGUAAAACUCUGUUAUUAGGGAAGAACAAAUGUGUAAGUAACUAUGCACGUCUUGACGGUACCUAAUCAGAAAGCCACGGCUAACUACGUG